RNAcentral lists this ribosomal RNA (207 nucleotides) under uncultured bacterium. RNAcentral's name for it is "partial 16S ribosomal RNA". It matches the Rfam family "Bacterial small subunit ribosomal RNA", at positions 568 to 774 of the family's 1533-position model. The record is from RNAcentral.
CACGUAGGCGGAUUGGAAAGUCAGAGGUGAAAUCCCAGAGCUCAACUUUGGAACUGCCUUUGAAACUCUCAGUCUUGAGGUCGAGAGAGGUGAGUGGAAUUCCGAGUGUAGAGGUGAAAUUCGUAGAUAUUCGGAGGAACACCAGUGGCGAAGGCGGCUCACUGGCUCGAUACUGACGCUGAGGUGCGAAAGCGUGGGGAGCAAACA